CAGAUUGAACGCUGGCGGCAGGCUUAACACAUGCAAGUCGAGCGGGGAAAGGUAGCUUGCUACCUAACCUAGCGGCGGACGGGUGAGUAAUGCUUAGGAAUCUGCCUAUUAGUGGGGGACAACAUUCCGAAAGGAAUGCUAAUACCGCAUACGUCCUACGGGAGAAAGCAGGGGACCUUCGGGCCUUGCGCUAAUAGAUGAGCCUAAGUCGGAUUAGCUAGUUGGUGGGGUAAAGGCCUACCAAGGCGACGAUCUGUAGCGGGUCUGAGAGGAUGAUCCGCCACACUGGGACUGAGACACGGCCCAGACUCCUACGGGAGGCAGCAGUGGGGAAUAUUGGACAAUGGGGGGAACCCUGAUCCAGCCAUGCCGCGUGUGUGAAGAAGGCCUUUUGGUUGUAAAGCACUUUAAGCGAGGAGGAGGCUACUAGUAUUAAUACUACUGGAUAGUGGACGUUACUCGCAGAAUAAGCACCGGCUAACUCUGUGCCAGCAGCCGCGGUAAUACAGAGGGUGCGAGCGUUAAUCGGAUUUACUGGGCGUAAAGCGUGCGUAGGCGGCUGAUUAAGUCGGAUGUGAAAUCCCUGAGCUUAACUUAGGAAUUGCAUUCGAUACUGGUCAGCUAGAGUAUGGGAGAGGAUGGUAGAAUUCCAGGUGUAGCGGUGAAAUGCGUAGAGAUCUGGAGGAAUACCGAUGGCGAAGGCAGCCAUCUGGCCUAAUACUGACGCUGAGGUACGAAAGCAUGGGGAGCAAACAGGAUUAGAUACCCUGGUAGUCCAUGCCGUAAACGAUGUCUACUAGCCGUUGGGGCCUUUGAGGCUUUAGUGGCGCAGCUAACGCGAUAAGUAGACCGCCUGGGGAGUACGGUCGCAAGACUAAAACUCAAAUGAAUUGACGGGGG
This 900-nucleotide ribosomal RNA is filed under the name Acinetobacter beijerinckii. RNAcentral's name for it is "bacterial SSU rRNA". It matches the Rfam family "Bacterial small subunit ribosomal RNA", at positions 25 to 919 of the family's 1533-position model. Lineage: Bacteria; Pseudomonadati; Pseudomonadota; Gammaproteobacteria; Moraxellales; Moraxellaceae. The record is from RNAcentral.